This 1266-nucleotide ribosomal RNA is filed under the name Corizus sp. 'albomarginatus'. Its description in RNAcentral is "16S ribosomal RNA". The stretch from base 1023 to 1182 matches the Rfam family "Archaeal large subunit ribosomal RNA", at positions 2544 to 2703 of the family's 2987-position model. The record is from RNAcentral. Lineage: Eukaryota; Metazoa; Arthropoda; Insecta; Hemiptera; Rhopalidae.
GGAUUUUAAUUUUAUUUUAAAUUUUAUUGAUGUUUUAUUUUUAUUAAAAUAAUUUUGUUUUUAGUAGUUUUUAUUGAAAUAUUUAUUUUAUAAUAAUAGUUUAUAGUACUGUGAAGGAUUAAUUAUAUUUUUUGGAAAGCAUAUUUUAUUUAUAGUACCUUUUGUAUCAGGGUUUAUUAAUUUAAUGCUAAUUAUUUUGUUUUCCCGAAGUUAAAAGAGAUAUAAUUUAAAUGUUAUUUUAUGUUUAAUAAUGAUUUAUAAUUUUAUUAUAGAGGUUAUAUGCUAUUCAAUUUUAAAUAUCUGGUUUUUUAAUAAAUGAAUUUAAUUCAGGCAAAUUUUUAUUAUUAUAUAAUUUUAUUUAUUUUAAUUUAUGUUUGCUAAUAUCAUUAGGGAUAAGCUUGGUGAUAUUUCUAUAAUUUUAUGUUUAUUAUAAUUUUUGUAGGCUUAAUAAUGGCCAUCAUUGAUUUUGUUAUAAUUCAUUUUAUAUUUUUAUUUAUUUAAUUUUUAUUUAGUUUAUUAUUAGGAUUUUUAAUUUAUUUUUAAAUUUUUAGUAAUAAUGAUAAAAUUAGUAGUUUGGUUUAUUUAAAUAUAAUAAUUCGGCAAUUUUGAUCUUCGCCUGUUUAACAAAAACAUGUCCUAUAGAAUUAAUUUUAGGUCUAACCUGCCCAAUGAAUUAACUUUUUAAUGGCCGCAGUAUAUUAACUGUGCAAAGGUAGCAUAAUCAUUUGUCUCUUAAUUGGAGGCUGGAAUGAAUGGUUGGACGAAGGAUCAGCUUUUUUUAUUUAAAUUUAAUGAAUUUGAUUUUUUAGUUAAAAAGCUUAAAUUUUUUUGUAAGACGAGAAGACCCUAUAGAAUUUUAAUUUUUUUGUUAUAUUAAUUUAUUUUGUUUUUAAUUUUAUUAUUGUAAUAGAAAAUUUUUGUUGGGGUGAUGGUGAAAAUAAUUUAACUUUCAUUUAUAUAUUUCAUUUAUUUAUGUAUAUUUUGAUCCUAUAUUAUUGAUUAUAAGAUUAAAUUACCUUAGGGAUAACAGCGUAAUUCUUUUGGAGAGUUCUUAUUGGUAAAUGGAGUUUGCGACCUCGAUGUUGGAUUAAAGUAAGUGUUAGGUGCAGUAGCUUAAUUACUAAGUCUGUUCGACUUUUGAAUCUUUACAUGAUCUGAGUUCAGACCGGCGUGAGCCAGGUUGGUUUCUAUCUGCAAUUUAAAAUUAAUAUUUUAGUACGAAAGGACCAGAUAUUAAUAAAAUUUAUUUGAUUUUGAUUAUAAUUA